RNAcentral lists this transfer RNA (72 nucleotides) under Camelus bactrianus (Bactrian camel). It matches the Rfam family "tRNA". Rfam says of the family: Transfer RNA (tRNA) molecules are approximately 80 nucleotides in length. Their secondary structure includes four short double-helical elements and three loops (D, anti-codon, and T loops). RNAcentral also lists the same sequence under 1 other name. The record is from Rfam by way of RNAcentral. Lineage: Eukaryota; Metazoa; Chordata; Mammalia; Artiodactyla; Camelidae.
GAGGGUGUAGCUCAGUGGUAGAGCAUGUGCUUAGCAUACAUGAGGUCCUGGGUUCAGUCCCAAGUACCUCCA